This 649-nucleotide long non-coding RNA is filed under the name Pan troglodytes (chimpanzee). RNAcentral describes it as "lincRNA". Lineage: Eukaryota; Metazoa; Chordata; Mammalia; Primates; Hominidae. The record is from RNAcentral.
GUCACAUGAUCCUAAGGCUUCAGGAAUCGGAGGAAGUGGCUGACACUGACUUACCAUUUUAACCAAACAAUCACCGCACUUAAGCUUGGAUAAGGGUCAACUAAAACUAACAGGGCUCUUAUGCAAGCCCUUCCAGUCUGGUAAGUUAUGAGUAUUUACGUUUUAUUUCCCCCCAAAAACAAUAAGACCCUCAGAGGCAAGGAACUCAUCUUGGUUUUUGUCCCUUACACACCUAUCUCAGCCCAGUGGUAUGAUGGGCACUGGAAACAAACCACCUGGUUCAAAUCCUGGCUUGGUCACUUAUUGGCCAAGUGGCCUGAUAUGGUUUGGCUGUGUCCCCACCCAAAUCUCAUCUUGAAUUGUUAGCUCCCAUAAUUCCCAUGUGUUGUGGGAGGGACCUGGUGGGAGAGAAUUGAAUCAUGGGGGCGGUUUCCCCCAUAUUGUUCUCGUGGUAGUGAAUCUGUCUCACGAGAUCUGAGGGUUUUAUAAGGGGUUUCUCCUCUUGCUUGGCUCUUUCUUGUUUUGCCUGCCACCAUGUAAGAUGUGGCUUUGCUCCUCCUUGCCUUUGUCAUGAUUGUGAGGCCUCCCCAGCCCUCCCCAGGCGACACUUUGGAACUGUGAGUCAAUUAAACCUUUCCUAUAUAAAUUA